Ailuropoda melanoleuca (giant panda) is the source of this 105-nucleotide small nuclear RNA. Lineage: Eukaryota; Metazoa; Chordata; Mammalia; Carnivora; Ursidae. The record is from Ensembl.
UGCUCGCUUCGGCAGCAACACAGUAAUAUUGGAAUGGUACAGAAAAGAUUAGCACAGCUCCUGUGCAAGGAUGACAUGGGAAUUCGUGAGGCAUUCCAUUAAAAA